AUGAUUCUUGUCAUUGCAAAUUUUCUCAAUGCUAAACUACCCCUGUUAUAUAUUAGCAGGAUGGUUAGACCAGGUGGUCGUGGUCGUGGUGGCGAUGCCCCACCACCACCUGAGUACAUGGCUGGUAUGAUCCAACAGUUUGAACUGAACCGCCAAUUCAUGGAAAAUAUGAUGGCUCAGUUUCCUCGCCCCAAUAUGAACCAGCAGCCAGCCCAAGUGACUCUUCAAGAUUUCAUACGCCUCAACCCAACCAUCUACCGCAGCUCAACUCAGCCUCUGGAUGCUGAUGACUGGCUCCGUGACAUCACCUAUGAGAUGGAGUCUGCUGAUGUAGCCCCUGCCAGCUAUGUCAAUUUUGCUUCCUUCUUCUUGAAGGGACCCACAGCUCAAUGGUGGGACAGCCACAUGCGUACUCUGCCAGCUGGAACAAUCAUCACAUGGCCAGACUUCCAAGCAGCUUUCCGUGCCCGCUUCAUUCCUCAAGGAGUCAUGGACCGGAAGAAGCGUGAGUUCCGCAACCUCACCCAAGGCAACAAAACCGUCGAAGCUUAUCAGCGGGAGUUUCUGGACUUGUCCCGCUAUGCUGAAGAAGACAUUGCAACUGAUGCACACAGACAGGAGAAGUUCCGUGAUGGACUACAAGCUGACAUCAAGCUCGCACUUCUAGUGCAUGACUUCGCC
Molecule: ribosomal RNA, 681 nt
Filed under: Triticum aestivum (bread wheat)
Lineage: Eukaryota; Viridiplantae; Streptophyta; Magnoliopsida; Poales; Poaceae
Description: partial small subunit ribosomal RNA
Source: RNAcentral